This 465-nucleotide ribosomal RNA is filed under the name uncultured bacterium. Its description in RNAcentral is "partial 16S ribosomal RNA". It matches the Rfam family "Bacterial small subunit ribosomal RNA", at positions 28 to 507 of the family's 1533-position model. The record is from RNAcentral.
GACGAACGCUGGCGGCGUGCUUAACACAUGCAAGUCGUACGGUAAGGCCCUUUCGGGGGUACACGAGUGGCGAACGGGUGAGUAACACGUGAGUAACCUGCCCACAACUUUGGGAUAACGCUAGGAAACUGGUGCUAAUACUGGAUAUGUGCUCCUGCCGCAUGGUGGGGGUUGGAAAGCUCCGGCGGUUGUGGAUGGACUCGCGGCCUAUCAGCUUGUUGGUGGGGUAGUGGCCUACCAAGGCGGCGACGGGUAGCCGGCCUGAGAGGGUGACCGGCCACAUUGGGACUGAGAUACGGCCCAGACUCCUACGGGAGGCAGCAGUGGGGAAUAUUGCACAAUGGGCGCAAGCCUGAUGCAGCAACGCCGCGGGCGGGAUGACGGCCUUCGGGUUGGAAACCGCUUUCAGCAGGGACGAAGCUUUUUGUGACGGUACCUGCAGAAGAAGCACCGGCUAACUACGUG